GACGAACGCUGGCGGCGUGCCUAAUACAUGCAAGUAGAACGCUGAAGGAGGAGCUUGCUCUUCUGGAUGAGUUGCGAACGGGUGAGUAACGCGUAGGUAACCUGCCUGGUAGCGGGGGAUAACUAUUGGAAACGAUAGCUAAUACCGCAUAAGAGUAGAUGUUGCAUGACAUUUGCUUAAAAGGUGCAAUUGCAUCACUACCAGAUGGACCUGCGUUGUAUUAGCUAGUUGGUGAGGUAACGGCUCACCAAGGCGACGAUACAUAGCCGACCUGAGAGGGUGAUCGGCCACACUGGGACUGAGACACGGCCCAGACUCCUACGGGAGGCAGCAGUAGGGAAUCUUCGGCAAUGGACGGAAGUCUGACCGAGCAACGCCGCGUGAGUGAAGAAGGUUUUCGGAUCGUAAAGCUCUGUUGUAAGAGAAGAACGAGUGUGAGAGUGGAAAGUUCACAC
This 455-nucleotide ribosomal RNA is filed under the name Streptococcus sp. oral taxon 064. RNAcentral's name for it is "bacterial SSU rRNA". It matches the Rfam family "Bacterial small subunit ribosomal RNA", at positions 28 to 469 of the family's 1533-position model. The record is from RNAcentral. Lineage: Bacteria; Bacillati; Bacillota; Bacilli; Lactobacillales; Streptococcaceae.